RNAcentral lists this RNase P RNA (463 nucleotides) under Verrucomicrobiota bacterium. RNAcentral's name for it is "Verrucomicrobia bacterium (freshwater metagenome) RNase P RNA component class A". It matches the Rfam family "Bacterial RNase P class A". From Rfam's summary of the family: Ribonuclease P (RNase P) is a ubiquitous endoribonuclease, found in archaea, bacteria and eukarya as well as chloroplasts and mitochondria. Its best characterised activity is the generation of mature 5'-ends of tRNAs by cleaving the 5'-leader elements of precursor-tRNAs. Cellular RNase Ps are ribonucleoproteins. Lineage: Bacteria; Pseudomonadati; Verrucomicrobiota. The record is from RNAcentral.
UUGGAAGGGCGGAGGAUCGCUCCCGGCGCAAGUUGGGGGAGGAAAGUCCGAACUCCACAGGGCGCGAUGCCGCGUAACCCUGAAUGAUUUCGGGGAUAAACGCGGGCAGCGACGCCGCGAGGCGUCCUGACGGAAAGUGCCACAGAAAAUUAAACCGCCCUGGAGAUUUCAAAUUUCAAAUGUGAGAUCUCCGGAGCAAGGGUGAAAAGGUGGAGUAAGAGCCCACCGCCCCAAGAGCAAUCGCGGGGGCACGGAAAACCCCAUCGGGAGCAAGGCCAAAUAGGAAACCGCGGAGUGGCCCGCUCCAAGGCCAGAGUAGGGCAGGCUUCCAGCCUGCCCAGAAGAAGGCGGGACACCCGCCCUACUCUGGCCCGGUUUCGGGUACUGGCCGCUAAGAUAAAUGAUUCUCUCCCCCGGCCUCGGCCGGGGCAGACAGAAUUCGGCUUACAGCCCUUCCAAGGUC